RNAcentral lists this ribosomal RNA (358 nucleotides) under uncultured bacterium. Its description in RNAcentral is "bacterial SSU rRNA". It matches the Rfam family "Bacterial small subunit ribosomal RNA", at positions 1020 to 1382 of the family's 1533-position model. The record is from RNAcentral.
UUCGGGGCUUUCUGCAAGGUGCUGCAUGGUGUCGUCAGCUCGUGCCGUGAGGUGUCGGGUUAAGUCCCAUAACGAGCGCAACCCUUACCCUUAGUUGUUUCCCGAAAGGAUUACCCUCUAAGGGGACUGCCCGGACAACGGGGAGGAAGGUGGGGAUGACGUCAAGUCCGCAUGCUCCUUACGUCUAGGGCUACACACGUCCUACAAUGGGGUCGACAGUGGGAUGCAAAGCCGCGAGGUGGAGCCAAUCCCCAAACGGCCUCUCAGUUCGGAUAGUAGUCUGCAACUCGACUACUUGAAGUCGGAAUCGCUAGUAAUCGCAGAUCAGCAUGCUGCGGUGAAUACGUUCCCGGGUCUU